UCCAGACUUUGAUCAUGGCUCAGGAUGAACGCUGGCGGCGUGCCUAACACAUGCAAGUCGAACGGAGUGUUGAGAGCUUGCUUUUAACACUUAGUGGCGGACGGGUGAGUAAUGUAUGAGCAACCUGCCUUUCAGAGGGGGACAACAGUUGGAAACGACUGCUAAUACCGCAUAAUGUAUACCGGAGGCAUCUUUGGUAUACCAAAGGAGCAAUCCGCUGAAAGAUGGGCUCAUAUCUGAUUAGUUAGUUGGUGGGGUAACGGCUCACCAAGACUGCGAUCAGUAGCCGGACUGAGAGGUUGAACGGCCACAUUGGGACUGAGAUACGGCCCAGACUCCUACGGGAGGCAGCAGUGGGGAAUAUUGGGCAAUGGGCGAAAGCCUGACCCAGCAACGCCGCGUGAAGGAAGAAGGUCUUCGGAUUGUAAACUUCUUUUAUGAGGGACGAAGGACGUGACGGUACCUCAUGAAUAAGCCACGGCUAACUACGUGCCAGCAGCCGCGGUAAUACGUAGGUGGCAAGCGUUAUCCGGAUUUACUGGGUGUAAAGGGCGCGUAGGCGGGGAUGCAAGUCAGAUGUGAAAUCUGUGGGCUCAACCCACAAACUGCAUUUGAAACUGUAUCUCUUGAGUGCUGGAGAGGUAGACGGAAUUCCUUGUGUAGCGGUGAAAUGCGUAGAUAUAAGGAAGAACACCAGUGGCGAAGGCGGUCUACUGGACAGUAACUGACGCUGAGGCGCGAAAGCGUGGGGAGCAAACAGGAUUAGAUACCCUGGUAGUCCACGCUGUAAACGAUGAAUACUAGGUGUGGGGGGACUGACCCCCUCCGUGCCGCAGUUAACACAAUAAGUAUUCCACCUGGGGAGUA
RNAcentral lists this ribosomal RNA (867 nucleotides) under uncultured organism. Its description in RNAcentral is "bacterial SSU rRNA". It matches the Rfam family "Bacterial small subunit ribosomal RNA", at positions 1 to 882 of the family's 1533-position model. The record is from RNAcentral.